This 208-nucleotide ribosomal RNA is filed under the name uncultured bacterium. RNAcentral describes it as "partial 16S ribosomal RNA". It matches the Rfam family "Bacterial small subunit ribosomal RNA", at positions 568 to 774 of the family's 1533-position model. The record is from RNAcentral.
UGCGUAGGUAGUUUUGCAUGUCAGAUGUGAAAGCUCAUCGCUCAACGAUGAAAGUGCAUUUGAAACUGCAGGACUGGAGUACGGGGGAGGAGAGUGGAAUUCUUGGUGUAGCGGUGAAAUGCGUAGAUAUCAAGAAGAACACCGGUGGCGAAGGCGACUCUCUAUCCCGAUACUGACGCUGAGGCACUAAAGCUGGGGGGAGCAAACA